Molecule: non-coding RNA, 27 nt
Filed under: Mus musculus (house mouse)
Lineage: Eukaryota; Metazoa; Chordata; Mammalia; Rodentia; Muridae
Source: RNAcentral
UGAAGGAUACACUGGCCCACAGCACCA